GAGUUUGAUCCUGGCUCAGAGCGAACGCUGGCGGCACGCCUAACACAUGCAAGUCGAGCGAGAAAGUGACUUCGGUCGCGAGUAAAGCGGCGAACGGGUGAGUACAACGUGGAUAAUCUACCCUAGGGUCCGGGACAACCCCGAGAAAUCGGGGCUAAUACCGGAUAAGACCACAGUAUCCAAGGAUACAGCGGUAAAAGAUUUAUCGCCUUUGGAUGAGUCCACGCCCCAUCAGGUAGUUGGUAAGGUAAAGGCUUACCAAGCCUAAGACGGGUAGCCGGCCUUAGCGGGUGAACGGCCACAUGGGGACUGAGACACGGCCCUGACUCCUACGGGAGGCAGCAGUGGGGAAUAUUGGGCAAUGGGCGAAAGCCUGACCCAGCGAUGCCGCGUGAGGGAUGAAGGCCUUCGGGUUGUAAACCUCUGUCAGGAGGGACGAUGGGACUAUGUCUUGACGGUACCUCCAGAGGAAGCCCCGGCUAACUCCGUGCCAGCAGCCGCGGUAAUACGGAGGGGGCAAGCGUUGCUCGGAAUUACUGGGCGUAAAGGGUCCGCAGGCUGUCAGGCAAGUUGGUUGUGAAAUCCCAAGGCUUAACCUUGGAAUUGCAUCCAAAACUGCCUGACUAGAGUCCAAGAGAGGUUGGCGGAAUUCCCGGUGUAGCGGUGAAAUGCAUAGAUAUCGGGAGGAACACCAGAGGCGAAGGCGGCCAACUGGCUUGGUACUGACGCUCAGGGACGAAAGCGUGUGUAGCAAACCGGAUUAGAUACCCGGGUAGUCCACGCCCUAAACGAUGGAUGCUAGGUAGGGGGAAUUUAUUUCUCCCUGCCGUAGUUAACGCAUUAAGCAUCCCGCCUGGGGAGUACGGUCGCAAGGCUGAAACUCAAAGGAAUUGGCGGGGGCCCGCACAAGCGGUGGGAGCACGUGGGUUUAAUUCGAUGCUAAGCGAAAAACCCUUACCCAAG
RNAcentral lists this ribosomal RNA (963 nucleotides) under uncultured sponge bacterium. Its description in RNAcentral is "bacterial SSU rRNA". It matches the Rfam family "Bacterial small subunit ribosomal RNA", at positions 9 to 979 of the family's 1533-position model. The record is from RNAcentral.